This is a long non-coding RNA of Syngnathoides biaculeatus (alligator pipefish), 1114 nucleotides long. RefSeq lists it as uncharacterized. The transcript is spliced from 3 exons. NCBI's taxonomy places the organism in Eukaryota, Metazoa, Chordata, Actinopteri, Syngnathiformes, Syngnathidae. The record is from RefSeq and is a predicted model, not a curated record.
GCAAAUCAAUUGAUGCAAAACACAGCAAUGGCAUUGGUCACAGGAGCAUAUCUAAGCUCUGGAAUGUUCCAGUGAGCACGGUCGGGCCAUAGUAUGUAAGUGGAAAGCCAAUCAUACGACCAUAAAUUUGGUUGGAUCAAGUGCUCCUCGCAAGAUUUCUGACAGAGGAGUGCCACAAAUAUUCAGAAGAGUCAUCCAAGAGCCAAGGACCACCUGUGGAGAGGCUCCGCCCCAGUUGCUACAGUUGCCAUGUCCCACAAGCUUCCAAAAUGGCGACUGAACAGAACAGAUGAUGUUGUAUUUGCGCCAUCAAACCAUAAUUUCCAACACUCACUGUAGAGGUUUGCAACCGAGUGUGAACCAACUGGGACAAGAAUCAGCACCUCUCGAUGUGAGACCAUGGUCUUAAUUUGUAAAAGGGUGAAAUCCAGUCUCCAGGUCAGGGAUGAGUUCCUUUCCGCGGCGGAGGAGUUCAAACAUGUUGGGGUCUCGUUCACAAGUGAGGGAAGAAUGGAACGGAAGAUCAACAGGCGAAUCAGUGCAGCAUUUGCAGCAAUGCGGACUUUAUACCAGUCCAUUGUUGUGAAGAAGGAGCUAACCGGAAAGGCAAUUAACUGGUCAACCUAUGUCCCUACUCCCACUUAUAGUCACGAGGUAUGUGUCAUGGAUGGAAGAACAAGAUCCCGGAUACAUGCGACCGAAGUGAGUUUCCUCUGCAGGGUGUCCCGGCUCUACUCAGAGAUAGGGUGUAAAGCUUGGUCAUCGGGGAGGGGUUCAGAGUAGAGCCACUACUCCUGCGCAUUGAGAGGAGCCAGAUGAGGUGGCUCAGGCAUUCGUUUAGGAUGCCUCCUGGACACCUCUCCGGUGAAGUUUUCCUGGCGUGUCACACUCAGAGGAGACGCCCUGGAUGCCUCAGGAUACGCUGGAGAGACUAUCUCUCACGGUAUGCACAAGAAAGCCUUAGGAUUCCUUCGCAAUAGGUGGAGGAAGUGGCUGUAUUGGGAAGUCUGGGCCUCCCUGCAAAAAGAUAAGUGGAAGAAAAUGGAUGAAUUUGCAAAUGAAUCAGGUUGUCUUAAAUACAUUUAUAUAUAGAAUUACCCUGCCACCUCAACCA